RNAcentral lists this long non-coding RNA (4011 nucleotides) under Sorghum bicolor (sorghum). Its description in RNAcentral is "long non-coding RNA (SBIC_LNC011754)". Lineage: Eukaryota; Viridiplantae; Streptophyta; Magnoliopsida; Poales; Poaceae. The record is from RNAcentral.
AAAAUGAGAAGUGGGAGAGACAUACCAUUCAAACUGGGACAAAGAAUAAAUAAAAAAGAUACAUAGUCUCAGGGCUAUUACAGAGAUUACAGUUUACAGAAGUUCACAAACCACACAUUCAAAGAUACAUAGUCUCAGGGCUCGCUGUUGAAGUCGAAGCUUCAAGCCUUCAACAGCUAGGAAGCUCAUAAACACACGCACUGGCAUAGUGGCAUGGGAUGGCAAGAUCCUUCAAUUUAUUCAGCUUGAAAACCACAAGACACAAAGUGUGCUGCCUGCACGAUCAUCAAGCAACGUGCAGCGCGUCACGGAGCGCGGCACGGAGACGGUCGGCCUCGCCGCGGCGCACGACAGCCGCGACGGUGCGGCCCCGCCCGCCGGCGUCGCGGUGCACGACGGCCGCGCCGCCGUCGCCGACGCCGUCCACGGCGUACUCCACGUGCGCCGGGCGCCGCCCCGCGAGCUCCAGCCCGUCGUACACCGCCAGGCCCUCGGCGUCCACGAACGUCAGGUUGGCGCCGUACACGACCACGUCGACGUCCUCCCCCUCCGCUCCGGCCAACGCCGCCGCCGCGACCGCGCUGGCCUCCUCGAGGUGCGCGCCGGCCAGCAGCGCCGCCAGCUUGGCGACGUCGACCGUCCCUGGCGACGAGCCGCCGGUCGCGACGACGUGGCCGAUGCGGUGCUCGUUGGCCAGCCCCGCCGGCGUCGGCGUCGGUUCGGUCUUCACGACGGUCACCGUGCGCGUCGCCUCCUCCUCCCCGCCGGGGCCUCGGAUCGCGGCCAGCGCCCUCCAGAUCAGCGCCGAGACCAGCUCGAACGGGCCCACCACAUGGCGCUGCUGAUGACCCUCGGGCGCCGCGCUGAGCAGGAGACCCUGCAGCUGCUGCUCGGUGACGUGGAAGGAGAAUGGCACCAUGUCACGGGUGGUCGGGACGGCCCAGUGAUCGCCGACGGGCGCGGCGGUGGCCUUGACCGACGGCGGCGGGGCCGCCACGCUGGCAGGUGAGGCCGCCGACGGCGGCAUGGCGAGUGGGUCUCUCAGGGUCGGUGCCGGGGCCUUCUUGCCGCUGAAGAGCUGCGCCCACUUGCUGAAGCAGGCGGCGGCGGAGGGGAUGUCGCCGAUGACGUGCGCCCAUGUGAAGCCGAGGGCCAUCCCGCCGCACUUGAAGCUGGUGACCUGCUCAAGUACUUGCCGCUCAGUUAGUGCCAGCAAAAGCUGGCAUUGUUUAGUUCGUCAAAAAUUUUACAAAAACUUUUAGAUUUCCCGUCACAUCAAAUAUUACGGAUAUAUAUGAAGCAUUAAAUAUAGGUUAAAAAAAUAACAAAUUACACAUUUUGCAUGUAAAUUGCGAGACGAAUCUUUUGAGCUUAGUUAGCCUAUGAUUGGACAAUAUUUGUCAAAUACAAAUGAAAUUGCUACUGUUCACAUUUUGCAAAUUUUUUUGCAAGUAAACAAGGCUAAAACUAUUUGGAAGAGCAAGAAAAACAAAAUACACCAGCUCCUAAAAUGAAAUACUACCUAUAGUAUUCAUAAGUUCAUAAAGCUUGUAGUUCUAUCUUUAUCCUAAAUUAUCUUUGAGGAUCAAUUCAUACAAAUUUGGAUAAUCUAGUAGCAUACAAAUUGUUAUCAUGAAAAUAUUUUUCACGAUGAAUCUAAAGAAAAUCUUAGUUAAAUUAUAUGACUUCUAGAAACUAAUGAUUAAAGAUAGAAAUGUUUGAUUUUAGUCAAAACUGUAAAACAAUAAUUUUUCUGAAAGGUCAUAUAAAGUUUACAUAGGUGGUGCUUCUAUCCCAACUAACAGUUGCAUGACAAAAAUUGAAUGUGGAUCUUUUUGUCUAUUAUUAGUGCACCGAUUAGUGGUUAAGCUAGCUAAGAGUAUCUCUAAUGGUCUUUCUUAAAUUUAUUCUCUAAAUCCUUCAACAAUUUUUCUUAAACUUACUCUUUAAAUACUCUUUUAUAGAGCCGUUUUAAUAAAAACUAUUGUCUAUAUUUUUUCAUCCUCUAACAGCUUCUCUAUAUUCUGUGCAUACUUCAGAUAGCCAACUCCGCUAUCUUUUUUGGCUAUUGAGAAAUAAGGAAUAGAGUAUGAUAAUACUGUAUACCGCAUUGAAGGUUUCCAAGACAAAGUACUCACUCAUAUUAGAAAGAAUGCAAUUUCAACUUUGGUUCAAGUCAAGACAUCUUAAUCUGGACCAAAUUUAUAUGAACAGUAUAUUAAUACAUAUGAUAUACUUUGCAUAUGUAUUAUUAGGUUUGCUAUGGAAUAUAUUAAUAUAUAUCUAUAGUUGUUUAUGUUGAUAAUAUUUUUCAUAAAGUAAAACUAAAGAUAGUUUGACUUUGAUUAAACCUAGAAUUACAUUCUUUAUUCUUUUUAUUAGGGGGGGCGCGGUAGUACUAUCUUGAUACGAGCUUAUGAUAAACGGCUCUGGCCUUUUUUUCUUUGUAUGAUGGAGUCGAAGCCAAUAAAACAAAAACACUAAUUAUUAUCGGCUCUUAAUUCUAGUACUUGAAAGGACAAGGGACACAACAGUAUAUGCUACUCUAUCACUCUAGUCUGUCGCCUCACACUUCAAGUAGCUCCAUGUGCAUGAGCGCCCGUUUCUGUGCGGCUGCAAUGCACCUACAGUGAGAAGUGAAGAACAUGUACUAGUGCUAGCGCAUCUCAACCACCCGUUGUUUUAAGAACAAUUGAAAUUAUGAUCCGCUCAACUGCGGUACCCUCCGUGCUUCGACUUUGGGUUCAGUAACUUUGAGACCAUGUUUGGAUCAAUGGAUUCUUAAAUGAAUUUUGAAAUAAUAAACUCUAAAAAAUGUAAAAGAAUCAUAUCAUAGUGUUUGAAACGAAGGAAAUUUAAGUUCCUUUCCAAAGGAAAGGAAAUCAGAGUAGUGAAAAAUGUAGGAAAUAAAACCUUCACUCAGCUCCAACUCAAUUAAGGGAAAGAAAAUUUGCUCCUCUUGCUAUGUUGGUCCAUGUUCUGGACAUUUUCUCCUGCAUUCCAAACAGCUCAAAGUAUCUAUUUAUGUGUUUUGGAAUCUACAAAAUUUUUCACUAUUCACUCCAUCCUAUUCUUGCAGGGUUUUUUCUUUUCUAUUCAUGUCUUGUACUUUAUCCUAAAUUAUAAGACGUUUGAUUUUUUUAGCUCAAGUUUAACCACUCAUCUUAUUAACAAAUUAUGAAAACAUAGCUAAAUUUAAUUCAUUUUUGAAGAACUUUUAUUAAUAAAUCAAGCCACGACAAAAGAAAUGAUAUUUUGUUAGGAUGAGUAGUUAAACUUGAUGUUAAAAAGUCAAACAUUUUAUAAUUUAGAAUUGAUUGAGUACUCCUUUGUUCCAAACAGAAUAUGAGAAUGUUAUUUAUGUAACGUGAGCACAUCUUUUACAUUGCUCUCUCUCUCUAAGUCUGUAACCCCAAAUGCACCUCCAAAACUCUAGUAUAAAGUUCAGACCAGCAUUAUUCGCCUGCCGUACGUAGCCGCGUUUAAGAAAACAUUAUGAUCCGCGUAUUAAACUAGUAGUAUUUAUUAAAAGUGAGUUGCAAGAAAUUAAAAUGAGAGUAGAUGUGUGUGAGAGGCCAAUUAUUUGGCACGAUAUAUGCAGAUACCUGCACGUAGAGCAGCGGCGAGAAGAAGAGCUCCGGCCCGAUCACCUUGUCGUAGGCCAGCGCCUUGCAGAGGCCGCCGCGCUCCGCCUCCGCCUCCAGCCACUGCUCCACGGUGGCGUCGCAGGCCACCUCCACGACGCGCACGCCGCAGUCGUUGCACCGCACGUACGGCCGCCGCCCCACCGCUGCUGCGGCGGCGUCGUCCUUGCCGUCGCCGUCGCCGUCCUCCGCUUGGCGGCGCCGCCGGAGCCGGCCGCUGACGGGGAAGUACAUGUCCAGCCACGGGAACAUGGGCUCCUUCAGCGCCUCCAUGGCGAACGCCGCCGGCGCGCGGAACACGUGCACCGCGCGGAGGUAGUGCAGCUUGUGCAGCAGGUCGGCGUCCGCCAGCUCGUAGUUCACCUCC